RNAcentral lists this ribosomal RNA (253 nucleotides) under uncultured bacterium. Its description in RNAcentral is "partial 16S ribosomal RNA". It matches the Rfam family "Bacterial small subunit ribosomal RNA", at positions 524 to 776 of the family's 1533-position model. The record is from RNAcentral.
UACGGAGGGUGCGAGCGUUGUCCGGAAUCACUGGGCGUAAAGGGCGCGUAGGUGGCGCGGGCAGUCAACGGUGAAAGUCCGGGGCUCAACCUCGGAUCGGCCGUGGCGACUCGUGGGCUGGAGCACUGUAGAGGCAGGCGGAAUUCCGGGUGUAGCGGUGGAAUGCGUAGAGAUCCGGAAGAACACCGGUGGCGAAGGCGGCCUGCUGGGCAGUGGCUGACACUGAGGCGCGACAGCGUGGGGAGCAAACAGG